UGAGCAACCUGCCCUUGACCCUGGAAUAACAGCUGGAAACAGCUGCUAAUACCGGAUAUGACCUCCGAUGGCAUCAUCUGGAGGUGGAAAGCUCCGACGGUCAAGGAUGGGCUCGCGGCCUAUCAGCUUGUUGGUGAGGUAACGGCUCACCAAGGCUUCGACGGGUAGCCGGCCUGAGAGGGCGACCGGCCACACUGGGACUGAGAUACGGCCCAGACCUCUACGGGAGG
Molecule: ribosomal RNA, 230 nt
Filed under: uncultured bacterium
Lineage: Bacteria
Description: partial 16S ribosomal RNA
Rfam family: Bacterial small subunit ribosomal RNA
Source: RNAcentral